AGUGAACGCUGGCGGUAGGCCUAACACAUGCAAGUCGAACGGCAGCACAGUAAGAGCUUGCUCUUACGGGUGGCGAGUGGCGGACGGGUGAGGAAUAGAUCGGCAUCUACUUUUUCGUGGGGGAUAACGUAGGGAAACUUACGCUAAUACCGCAUACGACCUACGGGUGAAAGCAGGGGUUCUUCGGACCUUGCGCGAUUGUAUGAGCCGAUGUCGGAUUAGCUAGUUGGCGGGGUAAAGGCCCACCAAGGCGACGAUCCGUAGCUGGUCUGAGAGGAUGAUCAGCCACACUGGAACUGAGACACGGUCCAGACCCCUACGGGAGGCAGCAGUGGGGAAUAUUGGACAAUGGGCGCAAGCCUGAUCCAGCCAUACCGCGUGAGUGAAGAAGGCCUUCGGGUUGUAAAGCCCUUUUGUUGGGAAAGAAAAGCAGCAGGUUAAUACCCCGCUGUUCUGACGGUACCCAAAGAAUAAGCACCGGCUAACUUCGUG
This 492-nucleotide ribosomal RNA is filed under the name uncultured bacterium. Its description in RNAcentral is "partial 16S ribosomal RNA". It matches the Rfam family "Bacterial small subunit ribosomal RNA", at positions 29 to 507 of the family's 1533-position model. The record is from RNAcentral.